Molecule: long non-coding RNA, 1278 nt
Filed under: Nannospalax galili (Upper Galilee mountains blind mole rat)
Lineage: Eukaryota; Metazoa; Chordata; Mammalia; Rodentia; Spalacidae
Description: lncRNA (ENSNGAG00000024616.1)
Source: RNAcentral
UAGUUUUAUAAGCAAAGAAAUUUGUAUUAAAUCUCUCUGCUGUCAUUGUUUCUUUGUUUCUCAUUUAAAUAGGCAAAUCAGGCAGCGGCUAGGAAGCCAAAAGUAGAUGGACAAGUAUCAGAGACACCACUGCUUGGUUCCUCUUUGGUCCAGAAUUCCAUUUUAGUAGAUAGUGUCACUGGUGUACCUUCCAACCCAAGUUUUCAGAAACCAUCAACAUCAACGUUUCCUGCUCCAGUACCUCUAAAUUCAGGAAAUAUUUCUGUUCAGGACAGCCAUGCAUCUGAUAACUUGCCAGUGCUAGCAACAGGAAUGCCCAGUACCUCAUACAGUCUGUCAUCACACCAAGAAUGGCCUCAGCAUCCAGAGUCAUCCAGGACAGAGCCAGUGUAUGCACAGAAGCAGGAGGCCACUCUAUCUGGGAGCCAGUAUAUCAGCUUCCAGCAGGGACCUUCAAUGGCACUACAUUCAGGAUUACAUCACAGGCCUGACAAGGUUGCUGAUCAUUCCUCAGCUAAGCCAGAGUAUACUCACAAAGUUGGGAGCAGUAAGCACCAUGGGCCUGUUUCUGCUACUCCUGGAGUGGUUCCCCAGAAAAUGUCUUUAGAUAAAUACAGAGAAAAGCGGAAGCUGGAAACCCUUGACCUGGAUGUAAGGGAUCAUUAUAUAGCUGCCCAGGCAGAGCAGCAGCACAAACAUGGGCCGGGCCAGGCAGCUGCUGGCAGCUCUGUCACUUCCCCCAUUAAAAUGAAACUCCCCAUAACAAACGCUGACAAACCAGAGAAACACCUGGCAGAGAAAAAGGAGAAGAGUGGAUCGUUGAAGUUACGGAUUCCCAUCCCACCCACUGAUAAAGGCCCUAGUAAAGAGGAGCUAAAGAUGAAGAUCAAAGUAUCCUCCUCAGAAAGACACAGCUCUUCUGAUGAAGGCAGUGGGAAGAGCAAGCACUCAAGUCCUCACAUCAGCAGAGACCACAAGGAGAAGCACAAGGAACAUCCUGCCAACCGCCACCAUGGCAGCCACAAGCAUUCCCAUGUGCAUAGUGGGGGUGGGAAGCACUCUGCCGAAGGGAUGCCACCUACUGUGCUGAGGAGUCCCAUAGGCCUGGGUACCGACAGCAUCUCCAGUUCCAGUUCAAGGAAGAGGCUGCAUAUCAACGAUGCCUCCCACAACCACCACUCCAAAAUGAGCAAAAGUUCCAAAAGUUCAGGUGGGCUACGGACAUCUCAGCACCCUCGUGAAACUGGACAAGAAACCAGUGGAGCCCCACGGUCCUGA